GUGGUGGCAGCUUGUGCUACACUCCCUACAGGUGGCUUGGCUCUGAAUCAACCCCCUUUGAUUCACAUGGGAAGUCUUCUUUAAAAAUUACUGAUAGCUGCUUCAAAGUGUAUGUCCUAUUGAUAGGGGAAUCAUGAGUCUCAGAAGAUCUGGGGCUAACCUGAUAUCGUGAGUCUGCUAUUUUGUCCUUAAAAAUGGUGCAAUGUGAAUAAAUGAAGAUACCAUGGAAUGCAAAGCCUCUGCUUAGAGCUGGGUUGAAAAAUCCCAUAUUUGUAACAAUGUAGAUCAACAAAAAUUCUUACAUGCCAGUCACAAUAAUGGCAAAACCAAAGCAUAAGGACAUAACUCAUUCAAGGUCAUGAAACUUAGGUGGAACUCAAAUUCAGUUUCCCAAAAGCUGCUUUGAAGGUUGGCCCUGAAUUUUUCCUUCUCUAGCUCAUCUUAAGGUCUGUGUUUUUAAUUAAAACCAAACUACUUCCUCUCAG
Molecule: long non-coding RNA, 485 nt
Filed under: Homo sapiens (human)
Lineage: Eukaryota; Metazoa; Chordata; Mammalia; Primates; Hominidae
Description: HSALNT0267223
Source: RNAcentral